UACGUAGGGGGCUAGCGUUGUCCGGAAUCAUUGGGCGUAAAGCGCGUGUAGGCGGUCCGGUAAGUCCGCUGUGAAAGUCGGGGGCUCAACCCUCGAAUGCCGGUGGAUACUGUCGGGCUAGAGUGCGGAAGAGGCGAGUGGAAUUCCUGGUGUAGCGGUGAAAUGCGCAGAUAUCAGGAGGAACACCUAUUGCGAAGGAAGCUCGCUGGGACGUAACUGACGCUGAGACGCGAAAGCGUGGGGAGCGAACAGG
RNAcentral lists this ribosomal RNA (253 nucleotides) under uncultured bacterium. RNAcentral's name for it is "partial 16S ribosomal RNA". It matches the Rfam family "Bacterial small subunit ribosomal RNA", at positions 524 to 776 of the family's 1533-position model. The record is from RNAcentral.